Long non-coding RNA from Cyprinus carpio (common carp), 301 nucleotides. RefSeq lists it as uncharacterized. NCBI's taxonomy places the organism in Eukaryota, Metazoa, Chordata, Actinopteri, Cypriniformes, Cyprinidae. The record is from RefSeq and is a predicted model, not a curated record. The transcript has 3 exons.
GUCCUGUAGGAGUGUGUUUUUGGAGCCUCUAAAUUAAUGUUCUCCGUUUAUACACACACAGUCCCUGUUUUCAGUGGAGAACUUUGUCCAUUACAUGACUGUGUCCUUGGAAAUGCUGAUGAAUGAGGUGCCUCGAAUGAUAGUGAACGUGGUCCAGAUACUGCCGAUGGAGACCCUGAGGGAAGUACAGAAACCCACACCAGGAUGUCUGCUCCAAAGGUCAUUCUGCUCCUGUCUGAUAAAAUCCAGCUGCGGGAUCUGCUGAUCUGAAGAGCUGGUUGGAGUCAACCUAGAAUUCCAA